This 1228-nucleotide long non-coding RNA is filed under the name Capra hircus (goat). Its description in RNAcentral is "lncRNA (ENSCHIG00010016017.1)". The record is from RNAcentral. Lineage: Eukaryota; Metazoa; Chordata; Mammalia; Artiodactyla; Bovidae.
GAUACUGAUGUAUCAAUAUUGGUUCAUUGAUUGUAAUGAACGUACCACAUUAGUAUAAGAUCUUGGUGGGGGAGGAUGUGUUCACGUAUAGAGAGCAGGUAUUUGUGAACUCUCCUUACUUUCUGUGCAAUAUUGCCAGAAACCAAAAAUUGCUCUUAAAAAGGUCUUUUAAUUAAAAAAAAAAAACAAGGGCAUAGAUAUCUUUAAUGCUUAAAAAAUGAGAGAAUUAAAGGCUAACUAUAAGCAUGGGAAUUUCCACAACUAAGUCAGCGUAGCAGUAAAAUAAUUUGAGUUUAUAUGCGUUGGCACUUACUUUUUUUUUUUUUUUUAGUUUCAAAUUUUUAAAUGAGACUUUGUUUUCCAAAAGGGUGUUGAUUGAUUAGCUAGACAGAGGGGAGUCCUUUCUUCAACGACAGGGGUCCAUAACAGAGAGACCCAGGGCAGUGCGAUGGGUACUAGAGGAGAAUGUAGAAGGAAGACAGAGGGUUUCUGACAAGGAGUACUACGUUUUCCAUUUCCAGUUACGCUUUCAGUUUUCCUUUCAGGACCCUCACAGGGCUCCCCCUCAGCCCAGGCUCAGUGCAGGCCUGCCUGGUACCAGGCUGGGCUGCAAAUGGUGUGCUACUCUGAAAUGAGAGGCAAGGCUCUGAGACCUUCUAGCCAGAGUCGGUGAGAAAAAGCCAACUGGAGGCAAACUCUUCUAUGACUCAGCCCACCAUUGCAAUCUACUGAUUUUUAUCCUUUAACGCCUAUUUACUGGGCUACUACUAAUACUAUAUAUGUCAUGUCCCUAAUUCAUACAAUAACCUUGAGGGGCAGGAAUGACCAUUUUAAUAAAUGAAGUGAGGGACUGAAGAGAUUAGUAACUUACUAAUCUCUUGCUCAGUGCUGCACAGCUCUUUAGUAGUAAGCUGAAACACGAAUCCAGUCCUGACUCACAUCAAAGUCCCAUAUGAUUCUAUUAAAUCGUGGUUUCUAUAUUCCUUGAUAACCAAUGAAACACUUUACUAGUUUUUGAUUCCAGCAUAUCCCAUUCCACUCUGUACUUGGCCACUCUCUUAGCAAGAGCCACCAGAAGCUCUGGGAAAAUGAUAUCCCCCUUCUUAGUAUUGUUUCUAUGGGACUUACAUUGGCCAGACUAGUAGCUUCUCCUCAAGGUGAAGAUUAUCAGUCAUUGUUAACUACUGUGUCCAUCCUUCCUUCCUGCUUUAUUAGUUUAACUGUUUAC